GAUGAACGCUGGCGGCGUGCCUAAUACAUGCAAGUCGAGCGAACAGACGAGUAGCUUGCUCCUCUGACGUUAGCGGCGGACGGGUGAGUAACACGUGGAUAACCUACCUAUAAGACUGGGAUAACUUCGGGAAACCGGAGCUAAUACCGGAUAAUAUAUUGAACCGCAUGGUUCAAUAGUGAAAGACGGUUUUGCUGUCACUUCUAGAUGGAUCCGCGCCGCAUUAGCUAGUUGGUAAGGUAACGGCUUACCAAGGCAACGAUGCGUAGCCGACCUGAGAGGGUGAUCGGCCACCCUGGAACUGAGACACGGUCCAGACUCCUAAGGGAGGCAGCAGUAGGGAAUCUUCCGCAAUGGGCGGAAGCCUGACGGAGCAACGCCGCGUGAGUGAUGAAGGUCUUCGGAUCGUAAAACUCUGUUAUGAGGGAAGAACAAAUGUGUAAGUAACUAUGCACGUAUUGACGGUACCUAAUCAGAAAGCCACGGCUAACUACGUG
Molecule: ribosomal RNA, 497 nt
Filed under: uncultured bacterium
Lineage: Bacteria
Description: partial 16S ribosomal RNA
Rfam family: Bacterial small subunit ribosomal RNA
Source: RNAcentral